GUGGGAUGACGUCAAGUCAGCAUGGCCUUUAUAUCCUGGGCUACACACACGCUACAAUGGGAAGGGACAAUAGGUUGCGAAGCCGCGAGGCGGAGCCAAUCCAGCAAAACUUCCCUCAGUUCAGAUUGCAGGCUGCAACCCGCCUGCAUGAAGUUGGAGUUGCUAGUAAACGCAGGUCAGCCAUGCUGCGUUGAAUACGUUCCCGGGGCUU
Molecule: ribosomal RNA, 211 nt
Filed under: uncultured Anaerolineaceae bacterium
Lineage: Bacteria; Bacillati; Chloroflexota; Anaerolineae; Anaerolineales; Anaerolineaceae
Description: partial 16S ribosomal RNA
Rfam family: Bacterial small subunit ribosomal RNA
Source: RNAcentral